Molecule: long non-coding RNA, 1184 nt
Filed under: Piliocolobus tephrosceles (Ugandan red Colobus)
Lineage: Eukaryota; Metazoa; Chordata; Mammalia; Primates; Cercopithecidae
Description: lncRNA (ENSPTEG00000006362.1)
Source: RNAcentral
AAGAACUUUAUAGCUAAAUCAGUAUUUGUUUUUUUUGUUCUUUAUUUAUCUUUAAGCCUAAAUAAUUAUAUUGUUAAUGGAGAAUUGGAGAUACCUGGUACACACAGAGGAAGACCUGGUAAAACGAGACCAGAUGUAAAAGAAUUACUCAAAACUUUUAAAGCUAAUGGAAAAGCAAUUAUUUCAGCGUAUUAUGCAUCAUGGUCAUCAUGGGAUGCACCAUCGAAGUUGGCUCUUAUUAAUCCUGAAGUUAAUGUUAUAUAUGUUGCAUUCGGUAAAAUGGAUAUGGCAUAUUCUGGUUUACAAUCGUUAUUAUCUAAUCCAUUGAGUAUAAAACCUGAAACUGGUUUAGAGUAUACAGAAGUUAUGCAAUAUUUUAAUGAUAUUAAAAAAUUAAGAACAGCACGUCCAGACGUCAUUGUUCUUUUAUCUUUAGGAGGAGAUGCUUAUAUGCCAGCAUCUUUUGAAAGUGCAAUGAACGCUGUACCUCGUAUUGUUUCCUUGGUUGAUGAUUUAGGAUUUGACGGUGUUGAUUUCGAUUAUGAACCAAAUGGAGCAUUUGAUGCUUUAAAUACUCAAUCAUAUGCCGAUUUUUACGUUAAUUAUAUAAACAAAAUUAGAGAAUUUAUGUGUGAUGAUAAACUAAUUUCAGUUUCACUUUCUUCUAAUGGAGCUUUGAAUUGUAUAUUAAUGAAUCAGCCAAUAUGUACAGAUCCAGAUAAUAAGUAUAAUACAUCAUAUUUUCAAGGUUCGUCAGUAAAAAGUGAAUUACGAAGAGUUGCAGAAAUGGGAUCAGCUGGUUCAGGUAUUUAUUUAAUGAGUCAGUUAAAAGAGAAAAUUGAUAUGGUAUUUGUUCAUAUAUUUAAUUUUAAUAAUACAUCGGACAAUUCAGUUAUUAUUGAAUUAUAUGACUCAUGGUUCCAUUUUGGUGUAAAAUAUGAUUAUGUUAUAAUUGUGGGUUUAAAUUGUAAUGCAAAUGUUCACGUUUACCCUGCAUAUGAUUUAGAAUUUGUGAAGCCAAUUGGAGAAGCUAUCAAAAAUAAUAAUGCAGAAAUGAAAAGAGCUGAUGGUUUGGGAUUGUGGGUAUUAGGUCCUGUAACUGAAACUCCUGGUGAGCCUAUAAUUCAAAAUUUCAUUACCGCAUUACGUUAAACUUGUGCAUUUUUUGUGUGAAGCAUAUGUUU